RNAcentral lists this non-coding RNA (184 nucleotides) under Chloropicon laureae. The record is from RNAcentral. Lineage: Eukaryota; Viridiplantae; Chlorophyta; Chloropicophyceae; Chloropicales; Chloropicaceae.
CUGUUUUUACUCUGUGUUUUUUCCCCCUGGCUGACAAUGCUUUUCCUGUGUUAUCUUCCAAAGUCCCCGAUUCGAAUUCGGGUGGGCCCUAAGAGUAAAAACUCCAUCUUACGGAACCAAACUAAAAAAAGGUCCCGACUUUCCCCUUUUUUUUUAAAAAAAAAAAAAAAAAAAAAAAAAAAAA